Molecule: long non-coding RNA, 569 nt
Filed under: Mustela putorius furo (domestic ferret)
Lineage: Eukaryota; Metazoa; Chordata; Mammalia; Carnivora; Mustelidae
Description: lncRNA (ENSMPUG00000024180.1)
Source: RNAcentral
GGAACCCAGAAACUAUUUUGAGAAAAGUCCAAGUCAUAUGGAUAGUCCACAUUUUUGGAGGCUGGAAAUCCAAAUUCUGGAAGCUGGAUGUCCGAGAGCAGCACUGUCAGGUUCUGAUGAAGGCCCUCUUCCUGGCCAGCAAAUAGCAAACUUCUCAUCUUGUCCUCACUUGGUGGGGAGAGAGAUUAAACUUGUUGAUUUCCCUCAGUCUCACAUCUUUAGUGAAAAGAAGUUUCACUAUCCCAAAGCAAUGGUAGAGAAGAGGAAGUCCCAAACCAUCUGGUGGUUGCAAGAACUAGAAGGCAAUCUAUGGUGCUGCCUCAAAUGUUCACCCCAUAUCUGGAUAAUAGAAGCAUUUCUACUAGUGCUCAUUUCAGAAAAUUCCAUUUGGGUCAAAAGGAAGGAUCAAUAAAACCUGAAACAAAUAAACCAUAAAGAAGAAAGCUGCACUAUUUAUUGGACUAGACUUAUUUCAACAGCAUAUCAACUGAAUGUUAAAAAUGUUAAAUUGUCUGGAACAGAGCAAAGUGACUUACAAACAGACCCAUCUAUCCUGCAAAGAAACUUGA